GCCCGGUUAGCUCAGUCGGUAGAGCACCAGACUCUUAAUCUGGCU
Molecule: transfer RNA, 45 nt
Filed under: Thelazia callipaeda (thelaziosis nematode)
Lineage: Eukaryota; Metazoa; Nematoda; Chromadorea; Rhabditida; Thelaziidae
Rfam family: tRNA
About the family: Transfer RNA (tRNA) molecules are approximately 80 nucleotides in length. Their secondary structure includes four short double-helical elements and three loops (D, anti-codon, and T loops). Further hydrogen bonds mediate the characteristic L-shaped molecular structure. tRNAs have two regions of fundamental functional importance: the anti-codon, which is responsible for specific mRNA codon recognition, and the 3' end, to which the tRNAs corresponding amino acid is attached (by aminoacyl-tRNA synthetases). tRNAs cope with the degeneracy of the genetic code in two manners: having more than one tRNA (with a specific anti-codon) for a particular amino acid; and 'wobble' base-pairing, i.e. permitting non-standard base-pairing at the 3rd anti-codon position.
Source: Rfam by way of RNAcentral